RNAcentral lists this ribosomal RNA (244 nucleotides) under uncultured bacterium. Its description in RNAcentral is "partial 16S ribosomal RNA". It matches the Rfam family "Bacterial small subunit ribosomal RNA", at positions 116 to 354 of the family's 1533-position model. The record is from RNAcentral.
CGUGGGUAACCUGCCCAAGAGACUGGGAUAACACCUGGAAACAGAUGCUAAUACCGGAUAACAACACUAGACGCAUGUCUAGAGUUUAAAAGAUGGUUCUGCUAUCACUCUUGGAUGGACCUGCGGUGCAUUAGCUAGUUGGUAAGGUAACGGCUUACCAAGGCAAUGAUGCAUAGCCGAGUUGAGAGACUGACUCGGCCACAUUGGGACUGAGACACGGCCCAACUCCUACGGGAGGCAGCAG